GUGCUUGCUUCGGCAGCACAUACACUAAAAUUGGAACGAUACAGAGAAGAUUAGCGUGGCCCCUGCACAAGGAUGACGCACAAAUUCGUGAAGCGUUCCAUAUUUUU
Molecule: small nuclear RNA, 107 nt
Organism: Loxodonta africana (African savanna elephant)
Lineage: Eukaryota; Metazoa; Chordata; Mammalia; Proboscidea; Elephantidae
Source: Ensembl